AACGAACGCUGGCGGCAUGCCUAACACAUGCAAGUCGAACGAGACCUUCGGGUCUAGUGGCGCACGGGUGCGUAACGCGUGGGAAUCUGCCCUUGGGUUCGGAAUAACAGUUAGAAAUGACUGCUAAUACCGGAUAAUGUCUUCGGACCAAAGAUUUAUCGCCCAGGGAUGAGCCCGCGUAGGAUUAGCUAGUUGUGAGGUAAAGGCUCACCAAGGCGACGAUCCUUAGCUGGUCUGAGAGGAUGAUCAGCCACACUGGACUGAGACACGCCCAGACUCCUACGGAGGCAGCAGU
This 295-nucleotide ribosomal RNA is filed under the name uncultured bacterium. Its description in RNAcentral is "partial 16S ribosomal RNA". It matches the Rfam family "Bacterial small subunit ribosomal RNA", at positions 29 to 355 of the family's 1533-position model. The record is from RNAcentral.